RNAcentral lists this ribosomal RNA (515 nucleotides) under uncultured bacterium. RNAcentral describes it as "bacterial SSU rRNA". It matches the Rfam family "Bacterial small subunit ribosomal RNA", at positions 9 to 517 of the family's 1533-position model. The record is from RNAcentral.
GAGUUUGAUCCUGGCUCAGAUUGAACGCUGGCGGCAGGCCUAACACAUGCAAGUCGAGCGGUAGAGAGAAGCUUGCUUCUCUUGAGAGCGGCGGACGGGUGAGUAAUGCCUAGGAAUCUGCCUGGUAGUGGGGGAUAACGCUCGGAAACGGACGCUAAUACCGCAUACGUCCUACGGGAGAAAGCAGGGGACCUUCGGGCCUUGCGCUAUCAGAUGAGCCUAGGUCGGAUUAGCUAGUUGGUGAGGUAAUGGCUCACCAAGGCGACGAUCCGUAACUGGUCUGAGAGGAUGAUCAGUCACACUGGAACUGAGACACGGUCCAGACUCCUACGGGAGGCAGCAGUGGGGAAUAUUGGACAAUGGGCGAAAGCCUGAUCCAGCCAUGCCGCGUGUGUGAAGAAGGUCUUCGGAUUGUAAGGCACUUUAAGUUGGAAGGAAGGGCAGUAAAUUAAUACUUUAGCUGUUUUGACGUUACCGACAGAAUAAGACACCGGCUAACUCUGUGCCAGCCGCCG